GCCUCUGUAGUUUAGCUUGGAUACCUUCGAAUGCCAAAGGUAUUCGAGUCUCGAAUAACACUUUAUUCGAAGAGAAUGUAAGGUUGCGGACCUUAUGACCCGGGUUCAAAUCCCGGCGGGGGCA
RNAcentral lists this transfer RNA (124 nucleotides) under Candidatus Aenigmatarchaeota archaeon. RNAcentral describes it as "tRNA-Arg". It matches the Rfam family "tRNA". From Rfam's summary of the family: Transfer RNA (tRNA) molecules are approximately 80 nucleotides in length. Their secondary structure includes four short double-helical elements and three loops (D, anti-codon, and T loops). Lineage: Archaea; Nanobdellati; Candidatus Aenigmatarchaeota. The record is from RNAcentral.